RNAcentral lists this small RNA (86 nucleotides) under Microcebus murinus (gray mouse lemur). RNAcentral describes it as "Y RNA (ENSMICG00000037761.2)". Lineage: Eukaryota; Metazoa; Chordata; Mammalia; Primates; Cheirogaleidae. The record is from RNAcentral.
AAACAGUCCAAAAGAAGUCCAUGAACAUAAAGAAUUAAACCUUUUGAAAAUUAUCUUCCCCCACUGCUAAAUUUGACUGGCUUUAA